UUCCGGUUGAUCCCGCCGGAGGUCACUGCUAUCGGGGUUCGAUUAAGCCAUGCGAGUCGAGAGGGUUCAGACCCUCGGCGGACUGCUCAGUAACACGUGGAUAAUCUGCCCUAUGGUGGAGGAUAACCCCGGGAAACUGGGGAUAAUACUCCAUAAGUCAGGAGUACUGGAAUGUCUCCUAACUGAAAGUUUCGGCGCCAUAGGAUGAAUCUGCGGCCGAUUAGGUAGUUGUUGGGGUAACGGCCCGACAAGCCCGUAAUCGGUACGGGUUGUGGGAGCAAGAGCCCGGAGAUGGAAUCUGAGACACGAUUCCAGGCCCUACGGGGCGCAGCAGGCGCGAAAACUUUACAAUGCAGGAAACUGUAAUAAGGGAACCCCGAGUGCCCGUACACGCGGACUGUCCCGGUGUUUAAAACACAUCGGAAGAAGGGCCGGGCAAGACCGGUGCCAGCCGCCGCGGUAAUACCGGCGGCUCGAGUGGUGACCACUUUUAUUGGGCUUAAAGCGUUCGUAGCUUGAUUUUUAAGUCUCUUGGGAAAUCUCACGGCUUAACUGUGAGGCGUCUAAGAGAUACUGGGAAUCUAGGGACCGGGAGAGGUAAGAGGUACUUCAGGGGUAGAAGUGAAAUUCUGUAAUCCUUGAGGGACCACCGAUGGCGAAGGCAUCUUACCAGAACGGCUUCGACAGUGAGGAACGAAAGCUGGGGGAGCGAACGGGAUUAGAUACCCCGGUAGUCCCAGCCGUAAACUAUGCGCGUUAGGUGUGCCUGUAACUACGAGUUACCGGGGUGCCGAAGUGAAAACGUGAAACGUGCCGCCUGGGAAGUACGGUCGCAAGGCUGAAACUUAAAGGAAUUGGCGGGGAGCACCACAACGGGUGGAGCCUGCGGUUUAAUUGGAUUCAACGCCGGG
Molecule: ribosomal RNA, 911 nt
Filed under: uncultured compost archaeon
Lineage: Archaea
Description: bacterial SSU rRNA
Rfam family: Archaeal small subunit ribosomal RNA
Source: RNAcentral